CCUACGGGCGGCAGCAGUGGGGAAUAUUGGGCAAUGGAGGAAACUCUGACCCAGCAACGCCGCGUGAAUGAUGAAGGUCUUCGGAUUGUAAAGUUCUUUUCUAAGGGAAGAAGAAAGUGACGGUACCUUAAGAAUAAGCCUCGGCUAACUACGUGCCAGCAGCCGCGGUAAUACGUAGGAGGCAAGCGUUAUUCGGAGUGACUGGGCGUAAAGGGUGCGUAGGCGGUUCAGCAAGUUAGUAGGGAAAUUCCGGGGCUCAACCUCGGCACUACUACUAAAACUGUUGGACUUGAGUGCAGGAGGGGCAAGUGGAAUUUCUAGUGUAGCGGUGGAAUGCGUAGAUAUUAGGAAGAACACCAGUGGCGAAGGCGAGUUGCUGGACUGUAACUGACACUGAGGCACGAAAGCGUGGGGAGCAAACAGGAUUAGAUACCCUAGUAGUC
Molecule: ribosomal RNA, 443 nt
Filed under: uncultured bacterium
Lineage: Bacteria
Description: partial 16S ribosomal RNA
Rfam family: Bacterial small subunit ribosomal RNA
Source: RNAcentral